Molecule: ribosomal RNA, 1000 nt
Filed under: uncultured bacterium
Lineage: Bacteria
Description: bacterial SSU rRNA
Rfam family: Bacterial small subunit ribosomal RNA
Source: RNAcentral
CGGGAAAUUGGCCGGCUCACCCCUGCAAGUCGAACGGUACCGGAAUAUCCCUUUUUUUUUGCUGACCAGCGGCCGAGGCCUUUAAAUGUUUGGGAAAAUGCCUGAGGGAGGGGGAAAAAGACGGUGAACAGGAAGAUAAAACCGAAAAAGGGCACAAGACCAAGGAGGGGGACCUUCGGGCCUCUUGCCAUCGGAUGUGCCCAGAUGGGAUUAGCUGUGGGGGUGGGGUAACGGCUCACCUACGCCAAUAUCCCUAGGUGGUCUGAGGGGAUGACCAGCCACUCUGGAACUGAGACACGGCCCACACCCCUACGGGAGAGCGCUGUGGGAAAUAUUGCACAUGGGCGCCAGCGCUGAUGCCCCGUGCCCCGAGUAUGAAGAAGGCCUUCUGCUUGUAAAGCACUUUCAGGGGGGAGGAAGGGAGUAAAGGUAAUACCUUUGCUCAUUGAUGAUAACCCGCAGAAGAAACACCCGCUGCUCUCUGCGCCACCACCCCCGAGAAUACAGAGGGUGCCCGCGUUUAUCGGAAUUACUGGGUGUAAAGCGCACUCCGGCGGUUUGUUAAGACAGCAUGUGAAAUCCCCGGGCUCAUCCUGUGAACAGCGUCUGAUACUGGCGAGAUUGAGUCUCGCAGAGGGGGGGAGAAUUCUGUGAGUAGCUAUGAAAUGCGUAGAGAUCUGCAAGAACAGCCCCGUUAAGAAGCGUGCCCCUGCAACUAAAACUGGACAUCAGGGGCAUCAGAGAGGAGAGCAAACACGAUUAGAUACCCUGCACAACCACCACCACAACUAUGUCAACUUGGAGGUUGUUGUCAUGAGGAUUGUCUUCCCGGAUCUAACUCGUUAACACCACCCGCCGCGGGCAGACGGCCGGAAGGGUAAAACGUAAAUUGAAUUGACAGGGGGCCGCACCUUACGUUCGAAGUAUGUGGAUUUAAUUUAUUCCAAUCAAACAAACUUACCCGGGUAUUGAAACCCACUUACCUAUAUAAAUAUGUAAA